RNAcentral lists this ribosomal RNA (301 nucleotides) under uncultured bacterium. Its description in RNAcentral is "partial 16S ribosomal RNA". It matches the Rfam family "Bacterial small subunit ribosomal RNA", at positions 509 to 807 of the family's 1533-position model. The record is from RNAcentral.
CAGCCGCCGCGGGAAUACGUAGGUGGCAGGCGUUGUCCGGAAUUAUUGGGCGUAAAGGGCUCGCAGGCGGUUUCUUAAGUCUGAUGUGAAAGCCCCCGGCUCAACCGGGGAGGGUCAUUGGAAACUGGGAAACUUGAGUGCAGAAGAGGAGAGUGGAAUUCCACGUGUAGCGGUGAAAUGCGUAGAGAUGUGGAGGAACACCAGUGGCGAAGGCGACUCUCUGGUCUGUAACUGACGCUGAGGAGCGAAAGCGUGGGGAGCGAACAGGAUUAGAUACCCCGGUAGUCCCUGUCUCUUAUAC